AAUGGAUGCCUGCUUUGGGCUGAACAUUCUUCUGGGCUUAACAUCUUUUACAGGGAUAGUCACUAGAGAUCUAAGACUGCUUAAAAGUGAUUUUUUAAAAAUUCUCAUUUUAUUUUACUGAUUUAUGGGAAGAUGGGUUUUCUUCUUUGAAUUCUGGGGAUGGGGUACCUUCUGGGGUGAUCUCUCCACUCAAUUGUUAGCUGGCAUAGAAGUUGGGGGGGAUACAGCUAGUUGCUACGCCACCCCUCCUGAGGAGAGCAAAGCCCCAGGAAGGCAGAGACCUCUUCCUUUGACCACCAGGUAGGUAAGAGGCCUCCCCGCCCCCAAGCUGGGGUUUUUGAGAGCCUUUUGUAACCUAACUUCAGCUUCCCCUACCCUGGCCCCCCUGGAGGUGCUGAACCCAAGGCCGGGGCACAAAUAUGGAGGGUGCAGGGUGUUUCUCUGUUCAGUCACUGUUCAGGACACACCCAUGAAUGCACACCAGCCUCAGGCGGUCCCCACCUCCUCUCACUUACAGAAAUGGGCCACAGGAUGAAGGGUAUGUAUCUGUUGAUGGCGAGGGUGUAGGUGAUGAAGAAGAAGCAGAAGAUGGACAUCUCCAUGGUGACGAUGAGCAUCAGGAGAGGGUGCACGCUGGUCCCCGUGAACAGUACCAGUGCAGCUAUCAGGCAGCCCUGCCGGGAGACAUACACCUGAGCUACCGCAAAGGGCUCU
This 714-nucleotide long non-coding RNA is filed under the name Lynx pardinus (Iberian lynx). The record is from RNAcentral. Lineage: Eukaryota; Metazoa; Chordata; Mammalia; Carnivora; Felidae.